GGUAUGGCUGUUCGCCAUUUAAAGUGGUACGCGAGCUGGGUUUAGAACGUCGUGAGACAGUUCGGUCCCUAUCUGCCGUGGGCGCUGGAGAACUGAGGGGGGCUGCUCCUAGUACGAGAGGACCGGAGUGGACGCAUCACUGGUGUUCGGGUUGUCAUGCCAAUGGCACUGCCCGGUAGCUAAAUGCGGAAGAGAUAAGUGCUGAAAGCAUCUAAGCACGAAACUUGCCCCGAGAUGAGUUCUCCCUGACUCCUUGAGAGUCCUGAAGGAACGUUGAAGACGACGACGUUGAUAGGCCGGGUGUGUAAGCGCAGCGAUGCGUUGAGCUAACCGGUACUAAUGAACCGUGAGGCUUAACCUUACAACGCCGAAGA
This 374-nucleotide ribosomal RNA is filed under the name Escherichia coli 2-460-02_S1_C2. RNAcentral's name for it is "partial 16S ribosomal RNA". It matches the Rfam family "Bacterial large subunit ribosomal RNA", at positions 2570 to 2925 of the family's 2925-position model. Lineage: Bacteria; Pseudomonadati; Pseudomonadota; Gammaproteobacteria; Enterobacterales; Enterobacteriaceae. The record is from RNAcentral.